CACCCCCCAAGCCCGGCUUGGUAUUGGAGCGCGUCCGCGCGGACGGCCCCGAAACACGCUGGCGGCGCCGACGCGGUUCCGAGUGCAGUAGAAUGCUUGCUCGGGAGCGCGGAGCGCCCGGCCAUCCACCCCAUUUCUGUGG
Molecule: unclassified non-coding RNA, 142 nt
Filed under: uncultured Dothideomycetes
Lineage: Eukaryota; Fungi; Ascomycota; Dothideomycetes
Description: sequence contains ITS2
Source: RNAcentral